UGCCUAUACAUGCAAGUUGAGCGCUGNAAGGUUGGUACUUGUACCAACUGGNAUGAGCAGCGAACGGGUGNAGUAACGCGUGGGGAAUCUGCCUUUGAGCGGGGGACAACAUUUGGAAACGAAUGCUAAUACCGCAUAAAAACUUUAAACACAAGUUUUAAGUUUGAAAGAUGCAAUUGCAUCACUCAAAGAUGAUCCCGCGUUGUAUUAGCUAGUUGGUGAGGUAAAGGCUCACCAAGGCGAUGAUACAUAGCCGACCUGAGAGGGUGAUCGGCCACU
RNAcentral lists this ribosomal RNA (279 nucleotides) under Lactococcus lactis. RNAcentral's name for it is "partial 16S ribosomal RNA". It matches the Rfam family "Bacterial small subunit ribosomal RNA", at positions 50 to 312 of the family's 1533-position model. The record is from RNAcentral. Lineage: Bacteria; Bacillati; Bacillota; Bacilli; Lactobacillales; Streptococcaceae.